RNAcentral lists this ribosomal RNA (503 nucleotides) under uncultured bacterium. Its description in RNAcentral is "bacterial SSU rRNA". It matches the Rfam family "Bacterial small subunit ribosomal RNA", at positions 899 to 1397 of the family's 1533-position model. The record is from RNAcentral.
ACUCAAAGGAAUUGACGGGGACCCGCACAAGCGGUGGAGCAUGUGGUUUAAUUCGACGCAACGCGAAGAACCUUACCAGGGCUUGACAUCCCGCGCAAUCUUUGGAAACAAGGAGUUCCUGCCUUCGGGUAGGACGCGGAGACAGGUGGUGCAUGGUUGUCGUCAGCUCGUGUCGUGAGAUGUUGGGUUAAGUCCCGCAACGAGCGCAACCCCUACUUUCAGUUGCCAUCAUUCAGUUGGGCACUCUGGAGGAACUGCCGGUGACAAACCGGAGGAAGGUGGGGAUGACGUCAAAUCAUCAUGCCCUUUAUGUCCUGGGCUACACACGUGCUACAAUGGCCGGUACAGAGGGCUGCGAAGGAGCGAUCCGGAGCGAAUCCCAAAAAGCCGGUCUCAGUUCGGAUUGCAGUCUGCAACUCGACUGCAUGAAGUCGGAAUCGCUAGUAAUCGCGAGUCAGCAUAUCGCGGUGAAUACGUUCCCGGGUCUUGCACACACCGCCCGU